AUUUUAUUACAUUUAUAGGUGUACAACAAUCAUCACAAACAAAUUUUAUAGCAUUUCCAUCCCAAACCCUCAGUGCAUCCCCCCACCCCCCAACCUGUCUCCUUUGGAAGCCAUAAGUUUUUCAAAGUCUGUGAGUCAGCAUCUGUUCUGCAAAGAAGUUCAUUGCAUCCUCUUUUUAUAUUCCACAUGUCAGUGAUAACAUUUGAUGUUGGUGUCUCAUUGUAUGGCUGACUUCACUCAACAUGAUAAUUUCUAGGUCCAUCCAUGUUGCUAAAAAUGCCAGUAUUUCAUUCUUUUUAAUGUCUGAGUAAUAUUCCAUUGUGUAUAUGUACCACAUCUUCUGGAUCCACUCCUCUGUUGAUGGACAGCUAGGUUGUUUCCAUGUAUUGGCUAUUGCAAAUAGUGCUGCAAUGAACAUUGGGGUACAUGUGUCUUUGCGAGUCAUGGUUUUCUCUGGAUAGAUGCCCAGGGCUGGGAUUGCUGGAUCAGAUGGUAGUUCUAUGUUUAGUUUUCUGAGGAAUCUCCAUACUGCUUUCCACAGUGGUUACACCAAUUUACAAUCCCACCAACAGUGUACUAGGGUUCCUUUUUCUCCACACCCUCUCCAAUACUUAUUGUUUGUAGACUUUUUGAUGAUGGCCAUUCUGGCGGGUGUAAGGUGAUACCUCCUAGUGGUUUUGAUUUGAGCCACUGUGGCACAGUGUAAAGGGUGAGGGGCUCAAGGGCUGGCAGAUCAUGCCCCAAGUCCCUGGGCAGAGCUACUUCACCAGAGGGAGACUCAGUUUCCUUAUCUCUGAAAUGGGCACAAAAGCCCUACUUCCGGGUGUUCUUGUAAAGAGUCUGUAAACCACUCCAUACAGUGUCUAGUCCAUAAAGUGCACCAUAAACACCCCCCCCUUCCCUGCCCCACAUCCAUUUGUCUGGUGACAUGAGUGCAGUAGGGGCCUAGGCCCCUCUCUGAGGUCCAGAGGCAAAGGCUGCCGCAGGACCAUCCGUCUCUGACAUUAUAGCACUUGUCAGCCACGGAGGACGUCUGGUCAACCAGAGGGUCUCCUCCAACGCCGAGUGAUCUGCAGGGCCCAGGCCAGCGUGUCUAGUGACAAGUGCCUGAUUUCUGGAGGCUGAUUCUGUGGAACCCACACCCCACCCUGCACUGCCAGCCUUUCCAGCACCCCGAGAGGACUUCAUACCCUGAAGAGCAUUCAAAAUCAUUGCAAAACAACAUAAAACAAAGCGGUGUCCUGGGCAGGUUUCAAGGCAGCAGCCUAGGCUCUAUUAAACCCUGAGCGGGGCCAGAGACGCAGCUCAGAGGAAAGCUGUGGCCUUCCCUCCUGGCAAGACUGUGGCCGGAUGGCUUCUGUCUUCCUUCUGAGGGGAGGGACCCGCUUGGCAGCAAAGCCCCCCACCCUCGCCCCGUCCCAUCUAGGAUGGUUCUCUUGGGUCCUGACGAUGCUCCUGGAUCCUGUUUGUCCCCUUAGAACACAUAAGCCUUCCUUUUCCUGCCUGAGUUUUAUGACUCUGGGUAGGACUUCAAUUUCUAGAGGAGGUGCUGGAAUAUCUAGUCUGUAUACCAGAUACAGCAUUUUAAUUCUUGAGCUAUUAAUUCUUCACGAAUAAAGCUGCAAGCAGUACGUUUUUAUGUGUCCCAGUUCGUUUUAACUUUUGUCAUAAGACCUUAACACACAAAGGCAUUAACUUUUGCUAUCGGCAAUGGGACAGGGAGAAGCCGGCGAGUUGGCCCCCCAGCAUCUGGGGAACCCCGUUUCCACUUUCUGUGGAAGGAAGUUCAGCCGGCAGGCCUUUGCUGAAGCCCCCCACCCCUCUUGUUUUGGAGGCUGCUUUUUGGAGGAUCCUCUGCAAAACCCAUUUGGUUUUUUUUUUUCCCCAAAGGCAAAGGGUAUGCUCACUCUGGAAGGUUCCUUUCCAUCCGUCCUCCCAGGCAGGGCUGCUGGUCAGCUGAAAAGCAAGGAGGCGAAGGCCAGCGGAAGAGAAAAAAGUGUUCACUCAAGGCUAGAGGCUGUGUGAGCUUCGGGAGGUCCCUCCGUCUGGCCCUGCUACUUCCUUCUCCACAGCAGCGUGUGCCUGCAGCGAAGAUCACAGGGCUCAGU
RNAcentral lists this long non-coding RNA (2108 nucleotides) under Sus scrofa (pig). RNAcentral describes it as "lncRNA (ENSSSCG00040065059.1)". The record is from RNAcentral. Lineage: Eukaryota; Metazoa; Chordata; Mammalia; Artiodactyla; Suidae.